Peromyscus californicus insignis is the source of this 1368-nucleotide long non-coding RNA. RefSeq lists it as uncharacterized. The transcript is spliced from 3 exons. The record is from RefSeq and is a predicted model, not a curated record. NCBI's taxonomy places the organism in Eukaryota, Metazoa, Chordata, Mammalia, Rodentia, Cricetidae.
AAGCUGCAAGCUGAAGAAUAAAAUCGCCUUAGCUAAUAGAGCGGCAUGCUAUUAUGUACCUGAAGGUUUAACUGCUAUAUUAGCCUGAAAGAAUCAUUUGGAGGGGCGAAAGGAGUUCGCUUUUCCCUGGGCUACAUCAGUGAAUUCAAUUUCUAUUGAAGAGAGACUAGCAUUUUAAAAACCACUGUGUGUGGAGCUUCGAGUCCUUUUCUUCUUUCGACCUCCUUAAGAUGUGCAGAUUUUUCCUGCCACACACCCAGCUUCAAGUGCUUCCUUGCUACAGACCUUAAAGCAACAGGAAAAUUGAUCACAGACUGGACAUUUUAAAACUGGCUGCCAUGAGAAGAAAUGACAGAGUGUUUCUGAAGACAAUUCAACAGAUCUGGCAAAGUGCUAUGGACGUAAGCAAGGCUCCACUUUGCCUUCAUUGAAAGUAGAGUCAGCAUUGGUGUUGAGACUAUUUGCCAGAGAGUAGCCAUGCCUCAGCCAGAGGCCUUUUCCCAACUUCAUCGUGUGAGAGUUAGGAAACAUUUUGAACAAUGUCAGUUGGAAGAAUGGAGAGUGUAGGCCCGUCAUCCGAUGAGGAAAUAGUGACACUCAAAUGCCCUUUGCAAAGUACCAUUAUACUGUUCAUGCCUCAGCAUCCCCCAACUGUCCUUUAGGUAGCUAACAGCAUCAUCAUUCACAUAGGGAAUCUAAAGUCUGUCGCUGAGCUCUGACUCCAAAACAUAUGCUGUUUCCUUGUUCUCUCCUACACCUUCUCUUCUAUUCUCUGACUUGGUCUCAAUAAUGUUUUUCAGAAACCUUAGAAAUCUGGGGCUCUGGGCCACUAAGGUAGACCAUAGACAGAAAGAAGAAGCAGAGAGUGAAUGUGGGUACAUUUUCUACCUCUAACAUAGGCUAUUAGCACAUGUAUACUAGGACAUAUGGUGACCAUCUGGAACUGAAGCUACUUACGUCACUGCUGAAAUUCCUACCAAUAAUGCAGUCAGUUUUGGAAGAAUUGUAAUGCUCUAGUCCCCUAAAAGCUUGACUUCUAAGAGAAUGCCCUUGGCAAAGCAUGAUUAAGAGCAGCAGUAUAUUUGUUGGCACACAAAAUGAAAUGUCAGUUGAUAUAUGGGGCCAUGAUACUCCUUGACCUUAAUUGUCUUCUGGAACAUUGUGUCCUAAUCCUCCCAUGGAUGUCACUGUUAAUGAGCUGGCCAUGCAAGCUUAUACAAACAAAAAGGACAUCCCACAAAGGGAUCAAAGACAUUUCCAUCAAUCAGGUGCCCCAAAGGAAGAGCCAGAUAAACAGUUCCAGCUGGUGAUAAGUAGAGAUAGACCAGGGAUAAACCAACUACAGUACAUGGUGAAAUCUGGCUCCUG